Brienomyrus brachyistius is the source of this 2421-nucleotide long non-coding RNA. RefSeq lists it as uncharacterized. NCBI's taxonomy places the organism in Eukaryota, Metazoa, Chordata, Actinopteri, Osteoglossiformes, Mormyridae. The transcript has 4 exons. The record is from RefSeq and is a predicted model, not a curated record.
GCCCUUUUAUAAUUGAAAUUUAAGUUAUAUUAUACAUCCCCUGUGAUUGUAUGCAUGGAUUUAACUAUAUAACUCACCAAAAACUCAGGUCAGAAGAAGUUGACAUUUAUUUUCUCGUAAUCGCCCACUCCUGAGACACCUGGCUGUAGUACUGAAGCUGACAUGCAUUCCUUCCUUAUUUCGUCAUUCAACUGUAUAUCACCCUUCUGCUUUGAAUCUGAUCACACCCAUAAGUUUACACAGUGUUUGGGUUUUUCCGUAGUUGCAAACACCCUUUGGACUUUUUGGCUUUGUUGAACAUUGUUGUCGUUGAAAGGCCUUCCGGCUUGGAUGGAGAGUCCCAUCUGAGCCAAGCAAACAUCCAAGGUCCAGGGGAGAGACUGCAUACACGAGCAUAUGUAAGAAAUACAUCAGCUGCGAUUAGGACACUAACAGGACCAUAUACUGGCAAUAAAAGUACAGGAAAUGGAAAACAUGGCCAUGAAAUGGCAUGAGCUGUCAGAGAUGAUUCUCCCUCUGCAAACUGCACCACCUACACAAGCCCCAGGAUGGGUUUGUCAGCAACGGCAUCAUAUGUCUACAAAAAUACAGGCCAUUUGGCUGAAACACGAACCCUGGGUUUCAAAGAAGUGUUGGGAUCCAUUCUCCAAAUGGUGCUGCAUUAGCCAAAUACACCACAAUUUUAUCUGGACUAAUCUCAGUCUGGACUGGCCAUUGGUGUUGUUUUAGGGAGCUGUUUUGUCACAAACCAGGAAGCAUCUCCAUUUGCCGUCAGAACACUAAGGCGGAACAUGGCAAUUCAGUGGGAGACAGGUCUUAACGAUAAGAACCUUCUACCAUAAUUGUAGUAAGACUUCCUUUGCUAGCACCAAAUUGUUUGAUUUUCUUUAGCUUCAAAUGAUAUUUGAAAUAAAACCAGCAGAACAGGCCUUUUCAGGUCAGUAUUCAAAAAAAGCCAACAUGCCUUUGGAGUGGAGUUACCACAGGAACCGGCUGCCAAACCGCUGAUGACGAACAGCAUAAGCAGAGAAGAUCUAGAAGAUCAGUGAGAGAAGCCAUCUGGCACCCGGGAGAUCAGAUACAAUGAGCAGAAGCCUAUUACACUAAAGUUUUAUUUAGUACACAAUCUGAAGCCUAAUUGAAAUAGCAACAUUACUGCCAGACAAUGUUGCCAUCAUGUGGUGAGGUCAUGUGAUCCAUGCAUGAACAUUACGUGUCGGUAACGAUAUGCUGUGCUCAGUGUCCCCAUAAAUCAGCUCUUUCUCUGGCCAUGUUCCCUUCCAUGUAACUUAAUCUGUUAGCUAAAUUAGAGCUUGUUUAAAUCUUAACCAAGAAUGUGGUGGGGGGGCAGUUUGCAAGGAUCUUGUUCCUUGCCAAAACAAACCAGCAAGACAGAGCGAGGAAGCUUCACGUAUGUCUUCACAUCCCCCGAGAACAAUUACUUUAUUUGUACAGUUUUGCCCUCAGGGAUGCAGACUUACCUGUAUAGUCACAAGUUGUUAUUAAAGUAAAUGGACGUCCUCGGGGCAGCAUUCCAGAUGUGGAGGCAACUUUCCGGAUGCCAAGAAGCAAACGAGUCAGAGAAACAUCCAGAAAGUGUAAGAUAGGGGUUUUUGAACUGCCGUGUUUCCUGUGUUUUCUUAAGAAACAGUGCAGAAAGAAAAAAAUUGUUCAGAAUGAAUGAACCAUUUUCAAAGAUGCUCUGAAAAAAGCACUUCUUCUUGGUUCCAUGCUCGGCAUUUUUCCCUUUUUGCUUUGACGUAUCUGUUCAGACGACUCGUCGACAUAAAGUAAAUAAAAAUCUCAGUGCUGUGGAUGAUCAUAGGUACCCUUGGCUGACAUACCCACCAGCUCAGUAAUAUUGCCAUUCCACCACAUUACUGUCAUCAACUUACUUUCCCUAUGGCAAGAAUUAGUGAAGCAAGAGUUUCAACUAACUCCAGACAUCUUUAUUCAAACUGGCCUUGAAAGCUUCUCUCAUGUCAUGCAAUGCAUAGUUAUUGCCCUCAUACCAAGUCAUGCAUGUUAUUAUUAAGCCCUUGGUAGACAAAGUAAUGGGUGGUAAGCAGGCGUCAGCACCACGACAUUAUGACAGCCUGACGGUCUCUGGCGGUAAGGCUAACCAACCUGUGUACGGAAAGCCUGACGGUCUCUGGCGGUAAGGCUAACCAACCUGUGUACGGAAAGCCUGACGGUCUCUGGCGGUAAGGCUAACCAACCUGUGUACGGAGAGGUUGGCGGUCUCCGACGGUAAGGUUAACCAACCUGUGUACGGAAAGCCUGACGGUCUCCGACGGUAAGGUUACACAGCCUGUGUACGGACAGGUUGGAGGUCUCCGACGGUAAGGUUACACAGCCUGUGUACGGACAGGUUGGCGGUCUCCGACGGUAAGGUUACACAGCCUGUGUACGGACAGGUUG